GAGUUUGAUCCUGGCUCAGAUUGAACGCUGGCGGAAUGCUUUACACAUGCAAGUCGAGCGGCAGCGCGGGGCAACCUGGCGGCGAGCGGCGAACGGGUGAGUAAUGCAUCGGAACAUGUCCAUGUCGUGGGGGAUAGCCCGGCGAAAGCCGGAUUAAUACCGCAUAUGCCCGAGAGGGGAAAGUGGGGGACCGCAAGGCCUCACGCGAUUGGGUUGGCCGAUGUCCGAUUAGCUAGUUGGCGGGGUAAGAGCCCACCAAGGCGAUGAUCGGUAGCUGGUCUGAGAGGAUGAUCAGCCACACUGGGACUGAGACACGGCCCAGACUCCUACGGGAGGCAGCAGUGGGGAAUUUUGGACAAUGGGGGAAACCCUGAUCCAGCCAUUCCGCGUGAGUGAAGAAGGCCUUCGGUUGU
This 413-nucleotide ribosomal RNA is filed under the name uncultured beta proteobacterium. Its description in RNAcentral is "bacterial SSU rRNA". It matches the Rfam family "Bacterial small subunit ribosomal RNA", at positions 9 to 426 of the family's 1533-position model. The record is from RNAcentral. Lineage: Bacteria; Pseudomonadati; Pseudomonadota; Betaproteobacteria.